GGGGACACCAAUUUGCCACUGAAACGCAAACGCAAAGGGAUAUGUGAACAACUUUGGAAAGCAGCCUUAUCUGUCUCCCAUCUAUACAUAUCAAAGUCAGAGUAUGUUGCAUGUACGUACAUUGGUUCGUACCACAAAGGCUCUGGUGUGGCCUGACAGAUCCGGACCAAACCUGGCACAAAGACCCUCCAUGUUCCAACUUAAAAAGUAAGGCAAGGGAAAGGAAAGGAAAGGAAAGGAAGAAAGAAGAGGUGAAGAAAGAAAGGGGAGAAAGGAAAAAGGAAGGAAGGAAGGAAAGAAGGAAGGAAGGGGAAGGUAGGAAGGGAUGGAGGAAAGGGGAAGGAAGGA
Molecule: non-coding RNA, 348 nt
Organism: Anolis sagrei ordinatus
Lineage: Eukaryota; Metazoa; Chordata; Lepidosauria; Squamata; Anolidae
Source: RefSeq, a predicted model, not a curated record